Molecule: ribosomal RNA, 576 nt
Filed under: Colletotrichum theobromicola
Lineage: Eukaryota; Fungi; Ascomycota; Sordariomycetes; Glomerellales; Glomerellaceae
Description: eukaryotic LSU rRNA
Rfam family: 5.8S ribosomal RNA (bases 217-370)
Source: RNAcentral
UAACAAGGUCUCCGUUGGUGAACCAGCGGAGGGAUCAUUACUGAGUUUACGCUCUACAACCCUUUGUGAACAUACCUACAACUGUUGCUUCGGCGGGUAGGGUCCCCGUGACCCUCCCGGCCUCCCGCCCCCCCCCGGGCGGGUCGGCGCCCGCCGGAGGAUAACCAAACUCUGAUUUAACGACGUUUCUUCUGAGUGGUACAAGCAAAUAAUCAAAACUUUUAACAACGGAUCUCUUGGUUCUGGCAUCGAUGAAGAACGCAGCGAAAUGCGAUAAGUAAUGUGAAUUGCAGAAUUCAGUGAAUCAUCGAAUCUUUGAACGCACAUUGCGCCCGCCAGCAUUCUGGCGGGCAUGCCUGUUCGAGCGUCAUUUCAACCCUCAAGCUCUGCUUGGUGUUGGGGCCCUACAGCUGAUGUAGGCCCUCAAAGGUAGUGGCGGACCCUCCCGGAGCCUCCUUUGCGUAGUAACUUUACGUCUCGCACUGGGAUCCGGAGGGACUCUUGCCGUAAAACCCCCCAAUUUUCCAAAGGUUGACCUCGGAUCAGGUAGGAAUACCCGCUGAACUUAAGCAUAUC